CCUACGGGGGGCUGCAGUGGGGAAUAUUGCACAAUGGGGGAAACCCUGAUGCAGCAACGCCGCGUGAGUGAUGACGGUCUUCGGAUUGUAAAACUCUGUCUUCAAGGACGAUAAUGACGGUACUUGAGGAGGAAGCCACGGCUAACUACGUGCCAGCAGCCGCGGUAAUACGUAGGUGGCAAGCGUUGUCCGGAUUUACUGGGCGUAAAGGGAGCGUAGGUGGAUAUUUAAGUGGGAUGUGAAAUACUCGGGCUUAACCUGAGUGCUGCAUUCCAAACUGGAUAUCUAGAGUGCAGGAGAGGAAAGUAGAAUUCCUAGUGUAGCGGUGAAAUGCGUAGAGAUUAGGAAGAAUACCAGUGGCGAAGGCGACUUUCUGGACUGUAACUGACACUGAGGCUCGAAAGCGUGGGGAGCAAACAGGAUUAGAUACCCGUGUAGUC
RNAcentral lists this ribosomal RNA (440 nucleotides) under uncultured bacterium. RNAcentral describes it as "bacterial SSU rRNA". It matches the Rfam family "Bacterial small subunit ribosomal RNA", at positions 338 to 795 of the family's 1533-position model. The record is from RNAcentral.